GAUGAACGCUGGCGGCGUGCCUAAUACAUGCAAGUCGAGCGAACGGACGAGAAGCUUGCUUCUCUGAUGUUAGCGGCGGACGGGUGAGUAACACGUGGAUAACCUACCUAUAAGACUGGGAUAACUUCGGGAAACCGGAGCUAAUACCGGAUAAUAUUUUGAACCGCAUGGUUCAAAAGUGAAAGACGGUCUUGCUGUCACUUAUAGAUGGAUCCGCGCUGCAUUAGCUAGUUGGUAAGGUAACGGCUUACCAAGGCAACGAUGCAUAGCCGACCUGAGAGGGUGAUCGGCCACACUGGAACUGAGACACGGUCCAGACUCCUACGGGAGGCAGCAGUAGGGAAUCUUCCGCAAUGGGCGAAAGCCUGGCGGAGCAACGCCGCGUGAGUGAUGAAGGUCUUCGGAUCGUAAAACUCUGUUAUUAGGGAAGAACAUAUGUGUAAGUAACUGUGCACAUCUUGACGGUACCUAAUCAGAAAGCCACGGCUAACUACG
Molecule: ribosomal RNA, 495 nt
Filed under: uncultured bacterium
Lineage: Bacteria
Description: partial 16S ribosomal RNA
Rfam family: Bacterial small subunit ribosomal RNA
Source: RNAcentral